ACAUAUGAUAGCAUAGCUUAGUAAAAAAAAGUUAUAUAAAAAAUAAUCUCAAAAAAUUAAAAUAAAAUUUUUUUUAAAUUUUUUUAAGUAAUUAAUUUUUUUUUUUACGUACACGUACACGUACACGUUACACGCUUUUAGUAACCUACAAUAAAACUUCAAACAAAAAAUUAAGCAAUAACAGAAAAAACUAAUAAAUAAGCGUGCAAUCUUUUUCAAUAAAGCGGAAAGCUGAAAUAAUUAUGCAACACCAAAACAGUUCAUGCAAAUUCGCAUUGUCUAAUUUUGUAUCGGAACAUCUUAUUUUGACUACACGCACACACACACAUGCAUACAUAGUCACAUGCGAAGUCUCCAAGUGUUAAAUAAGAAGACUGAAGCAUAAGAAACAAAAAUGGUGUGUAAAAGUGCAAGAAAUUACAAAUAAAUCAGCUGAAAAAAGUUAAUAGAUUAUAAGACGCAGCACGUAUUGGCCCAAACGCACGUGACGUACAUUAUUUAUUGACAACCGUAGUAGGCAAACGACUAAGCAACCGACUAAGCAAGCCCGUGGCGCUUGGCUUGAUCUAAAUAUUUUCGAAAUAAUUCACUACCAGUACGAAAUAUACCCAACACAACGAACUGCUAAGAUUUCGUGUGAUAAAAUUUCAUAAUUAAUUUUUAUUUGUUGUAGCAUAAAAUAAUACAUAUAUUUCAAAAAAAAAUUUAAAUAUAUUUCAAGUACUGAAAUUAUUUAUGCGUAUAACACAUCAGAGCGAACAAAUAAAGCACAAUAUUUCAACUAAGUAAGCGAUUCCGGCAGAAUUCACGGCAGAUAGGCUACCAAAGGCGCCUGUGCAGCAUCAAUCUUAAAUAUUUCGAUUACUGAUAUUUGUAGGGCAAUUGUACGUGGCUGGAUCGAAAGUACUAGCAGAAGAACCUCUGAUAGAGUCAUGGAAACCACUACGGGCAUAAAGGCCGCAAAUAGAAAGCGUAACACACCGCCUAGGAAACUGAAGUCGUACCGACGCUUCGUAGACAAAAUUUUGGAGCGCUAGACAGACCGAGUAGGUAUCUGUGCAGCACGCUGGUACGUUAACGUGAGCCUGAUAUUUUAUGAAGAUUUUUAUUCUGAUUUCGAUCGCUACAUGCUAUAGUACAUAUACUUAGCAAAUUUAUACAUACAUAAAUACGUAUAAAAAUUUAUCAAAAAUAUUUGUUGGGUAUAGCGUCUAAACAAAUGUAAGUUUUUAUAUAUUAACAUAAAUAAAUAUAUUUUUAUGGCAUUUAUUUUGAAAAAAUUAUGUUUUAACUGCUUGUGACAAUAGUAGCAACCCAAAAAAUAAGCAAAUAAAUAGUAGUAGCAAAAAUAUUUCAAUGUCAAUGAACUGAGGCGAUGUAGGUAUAAAGCGAAUAAAAAAACAUAUAAAAUUAGUCAAUGAAAAACUACUAGCAGCGGGUGAAUUUUCAAGACUUAUUUAACAACAACAAAUAUUUGUUUAAUAUUUGCACUCGUCUAGCUAAUUAUGUUAUAAACGAACCCAACUAUUUACAAUUACGCUUAAAAUGAUCUGUUUGUCAACAGUUACAUUUUAUAGCACGAGUAAUACGGCGAAAACCGUUAAAUGCAUCACUACUACGCGCUAAACUACUCGUAUAUACAAGUGUGUGUGCAUGUGUGUAUUUGAAACUAUCGCAGUUUUAUAGCAACAUGGCACCUAAUCAGCUUAUUAUUUUCGCUAUAAAAUCAUAAGUAACUGCACAUAUACUAGUUUGUUAUCACUCAGUAAAGUCACAAGGUACUGUGCACACGUACAUACAUAUGUAUAUGCUAAGUUCUAAAUAUAUUAUGCAUUUUUUAUAUUGUAUGUAUGUAUAUAUUCAUAUGUGUUUAUGUAUUAGCACGGUAUAUUGAAAACAUUGUGCAACAAGGUAAAUAUUUAUUAAAUUAAUGGCAGCACUCGACCAUGCUAAACAGCCCAUAUGCUACUACUUACUUUUUUUCGCUUACAAUUUCUGAUCUAACAAAUUAGUUUUAUUUAAUUUGUUUUGUAAUUAUUCCAUUAACUUUGGCAUAAUUAUAUUUUUAGCGGAAAUUAAAAAAAAGCGCUUAGUUACAAAUCGUGUUUAUUUAAGGCUUUUAAUUUACAAAUAUGAAUCAUAAAAUUAAUUAGUGCAUUUGAAAUAAAAACAAGCGUGUCUUUUUUUUUAUUUGUGUGAAAAAGAGGUUUGGUAUUCGCAACCUAUAUUCAGAUAAAUUUCGAUGAAAGUCCUUAAGUACUGUUAAAGUGUGAAAGAUACCUAACCUGUAUUCUCAAACUAAAAUCUGAUAAAUGUGGAUUAAAGUUCUUGGAAGCGUGUGAAAGAGAGGACGAGAGGUUUAGAUACAUUUAAAAACAAAUUAUUCAAAGGUAAUAGAUGAGCGUAGAAAAACAAUGAAAUUGCUGACAAAUUAUGUCCUUGGCACUAUAUCAACCUGAAAUCUAUAGAUGCAUAACGUAAUUAUAUAAUGCGAGGCCACGUGCAGAGAAUUAAAAAAACUUUGAAAUCUGUUUAAAAAUCUUUCUUAGACUCUUAAAAUCAUUCCACAGUAACUGAACUAUGUGUAUUAAGUAAACCCAUCCGCUUAAAUACCGAACCACCUUAAAUAACCAACAUUUUAGGGUUUAGUGCGCGCAUCGAAGGACUUCAGCGGGAUCUUUUAAGCACUCAACCCGCCAAAGUACAUUUAAUGGAAAUGCAUAAUAACAAAAGAGUAAUGGCUAUUCUUAAAAAGUAUUAAAUUUUUUUUUUUUUAAUUUAAGAAACUCUCAAAGCAAUUUUUUUUUGCCAACCAUGUAAAUUUAAGAAGUAAAAACAAGAGCUUUACUAACAGAUUAAAAGAAAUUUAUGUACGUUUAACUGUUUACUCAUAAACUGUCUCCUACAUAUGCCCAUACAUAUGCAAACAUUUAGCGGUAAUUUGAAUUUGCUAACUAUUUUUUGUGCCACUUUAUAAUUUAUCACAUGCACAUUAAUUUAGAGUGUCAAGGAAAAUCAAUAUUUUGUUUUAAUUACAACGAAUUAGCUGGAAAAAAAAUUCCCCCAAAAAUGCGCACUUGCAUACAAAGUUUAAUGGAUUUAAGUGUUUGGAGAAUCAAUAAGUUUAAGUAUAACCGGUUCAUACCUGCGAAUUUCCAAAAAUUAAUAUAAUAGACAAGUCUGCUGAACUAAGCUGGCAAGAUAAUCAUCAGAGCAGACAGGGUAUUGCACAUGUGAGUGUCAUUGCACAGAUGUAUACAUACAUAUAUGUAUGUAUAUAUAUUUAGGCAUGUACAAACUGAUAUAUAUGGUAUUUUUGUGUGCGCAUGCGCAGGUGCCUUGGUAAAAAACUGACUGGCAUACACAAUACUGUACUAGUAUUAAAUAAAAUAUCAACUAAUUUAAUAUAUUUGGUUAUUUUAAACAAAACCUUGAGACAAAAAAAAAGUACCAAGAAAGUAUUAAAAGUGCAUCUACCUGUACAUUAAAGUGGCCAUUAACGCAGAUGUGUUAAAUAUUUUAGAUCCUACUACCUGUACAUUUUAGAUCCUCAAGCGGUUUUCGGGGGAAUAUUGCUGAAGAAAUGAAACUGUCUGGUUUGAAAACGUCUGGUCAUCCGUGGUUUUAUUUAAAAAAAAAAAUUACUUAAGCAAACCUAGAAUAUUUCUCUCAUAUAAGUUUCUGAAUAAUUAGUUAUGAAUAUAAAGUACGGGAUAUACAUAUAUAAAUAUACUGCGCUUAUGCCACAAAUAUUAAGUAAAACUCACAGUUUAUUAAAACCCGCAAUUAAAAGUCAUGAUGAGUGUAUAUUAUUCUUUCAACGCUUGUAUGAAGAACGAUGCUUUCAGGAAAACCAAGCAACUGCAUUUUCAGUAUCGCUUUAUACCUUAAGCAGGGUAUAGUAAGUUUGACACGAAGUUCGUAACACCCAGAAGGAAACGUAGGGUCUGCGAAGUAUAUAUAAACUAUCACCGUAACGGAAAGCUGCCAUACAAGCUGACCGAUUAAAAUCAAGUCUUUGUAUGGAAAACUAUUUUAUUCGACCAAUUAUUCUCACGAAAUUUGACAUAGAUUAUUAUCGAAGGUAGCGCUACAAUCACCGAAGAUUUUGUUUAGAUUGAAACAAUAUAUGUUAGCAUAUAGCUGUCAUAUAAAUUGAUACAUCAAAAUCAAGAUAAAGAUUCUGUUAUGCAAGCUUAUGCUAUAAAAAAUGCACCUUUGAAGAGUAUGAUAGCCUCGGUGCAGCCAUGGUGAAAGUUCUUUCUUGUUUCUUUUCGAUCAUAGAGUUAUGCCUCUUACCAUAUAUUGUAAUUAAUACGAUAUUUUAUUAGCUUAGUUCUCUGGUACAGUGACUUCAGAGCAGAGAGUUAGAUAGAUUAUACAUUUUUUUAGUAUUUAAGUCACUAUAGUGCUGGCUAAAUAAAUCAGGUCAAUUGAGUUUUUGUUAAUAAAGAUUUGGUAAAAAUGUCUCGAUGACUAACUGACGUUGUAUAUUUUGAUUCUUGAAAUCAUGCUAAAUGCUUUGCGGCAUUCGGUUUAUACUAGCGAACUACUGAGAUGGGAGUAUGUUGGGGUCGAACUUCACCGUCAUGGAAUUACAGUAUCGCAAGUGCUCUAUUAAGACAUCAUAUCAUGAGUGUGGGGGAUUUCAGCUAGUAUGGAUGCUGUUUUUGGUAUAGUUUUAGUUAGAUCACUGUAGAGCUGCUUUAGAAGAUUAAACACGGUUCUUAAAAUGUUGAUAAUGUACUCAGCGUAGUAAAAUUAGACUUGAAACUGACUCAAAAUACCUGUUAUAGCGAGCAGCUGUGCUGAAAUAUUUCACCACGGUCUACUACUGACUUCAGUAAUAAAUUUCCUCAAACAUCACGGUGAAGACGCAGCCUAACCGGGUUCGCUAGCAUCUAAGCUCAUGCAUAGAUAUACAUAUAUAUUUAUUAUCAUUGUGUAUGUGUGCUUAUCAACAAGAUUGCAUUGAAGAGAUGUGAGCAGCGCGACUUGCCAAGCUUUAUUGACAAGCGUUAUUCGCUUUGUUGUGUUUAAUUUAGCUUAGCUCGCUUGUGUGCUGUUUUAUUCAGCACUUUUUUUUAUUGCUAUUUACUGUUUACCGCUACUAUCGGUUAAAUCUGCUACACUUUUACGCAUGCAUCCGCAGUUGAUCGUCUCCGAGAGCUGGCAGUAAUUAACACGCGGGUGUUUUUGGUGUUUUAACAUGGUUUUCGCAUCUAAUUACUUAAUUUGAAUGGCACUGCCACUCAAAAAUUCCAUAACAACUGCCGACAAUACGAAUAGCAUUGCCAACAUGCACAACAACAAUACGGUGCCUUUUGGUGACAAAGCUAUAAAAAUUAUAAAAUUAUAAAAAUUAAAAAAACAAACACAAAAAGACAAUAACAACUUAAAAAAUGUGGCAUCAUUUAUUUUAUCUUCGUUUUUCUUUUGUUUAAUUUUAAAGUCACAAAUCAAAAAAACUAGUUGGCAUUUUAUCUUUAUUAUUAUUAUAAUUUGGGUUUUUUGUUGUUAUUUUAUUGUUUUUUUGGUUUUGUUUUUGUUUGUUCAACAACAUAUGAUUGUUGAUUUCUGUGUUUUAGUUUGGCAAUUUCUAUUUCGUUUUUAAGUGAUACUUGAAAAGCAUUCAAUACCACACACCUGUAAAUGUACAUACAUAUGUACGAGUAUAUUUACCCGUGUAUACCAACAUACAUACAUACGAGUAAAUAUGCAUAGCAUUUAACUGCACGCUGGCACUGGCAAAGCAGACAGCAAUCAGGAAAUUUCUAGUAACCAAUUAUGGCACACUCUAAAACACCGUUUUCGGCGUAUUUUAAUUUUGAAUAUCAUCGCCCGUCAUCGUAUCGAAUUGACCAAACGUGCGCUUACAUAAAUACGAGUACUGGGAGUAGUAGCAAAGCAAAAAACACAACAAACAAGACACUAGAAUAUUCGCUAAUAUUAUGCAGAGAAAUUCGUUGUUAUUAACUGCAAAAAGUCGAACGAGUUUAAAAAUGUCCUAACACUGCUCGAACUACUUUCCAUGGAACUAGUAUUGGUUGUAGGCGAGUUUAGAAUUUUUGGAAAUAUGCGAGCGCAUCAUAAAGACUUUUAAGACGCGUAAAAACAUAAAAAAAGGCUCAUUAAAACUCAUUUUCAAUGACAGAAUUUACUGUUGGUAACAAAAUAUAAUUGAAAUAAUGGAUUUGACACGACAUUAUUUUCGGUGACGUCACAUUAGCGACAUUCUUAAAGACAGUAUUAUGCUAAUUGCGAACACCAAAACUCUCAGUAACGUCACCUUAGCGACGCACUGAGAGACAGCCAUUAAAAGGCUGUAUACUAGUAAAUGAAAACCCGAUCAAUAAUUUUU
Non-coding RNA from Bactrocera oleae (olive fruit fly), 6361 nucleotides. Lineage: Eukaryota; Metazoa; Arthropoda; Insecta; Diptera; Tephritidae. The record is from RefSeq and is a predicted model, not a curated record.